GAGACAGAGAUUGAUCUUGAUGUACAGUGCCAUUUGAAAAUCUCAAAACUAAGUAAGUUGUUCCCCUUCAGCUACAUCAGGGGAGUAUUCAUCAAAUAACAGUCACUAGUUGUGCUGGGAAAAUAGUUGAUUAAUUGAGCCAAACCUAUCUCUGCUACCAAGCAUUGUAGCUGGCGUUUGCUUCUUCUGGAUUUGAUCCCCCAGCUGGCACCUGGCUCAGACUUAAUUAAUGCUGCCUGUUCUUGUCUGAGUUUCCAUGAACUUAUAAAUACAAGUUGUUUUUGUAAAUUGAGUCCCAAACCCAUAUGUUUAUAAGAGC
Molecule: long non-coding RNA, 319 nt
Filed under: Homo sapiens (human)
Lineage: Eukaryota; Metazoa; Chordata; Mammalia; Primates; Hominidae
Description: HSALNT0058834
Source: RNAcentral